UCAUGGCAAAAUAAAUAAAUAAUAGCAAAAUGCUUCAUCUCCAAAUACAUAUGGGAUUGUAAACAAUUGUGUUUAGUCGUAAAACUGAAAAACAUAUGGAACUAUCAAGUCUUAUUUUAUAAAACUAUACGAAAAAUAAGCAGAUAGAAAAGAAUAUGAAUCAUCAUAUAAGCAUGUAAGUCCAACAUUGUUUUUCUUGUUUGGAAAUAUUUUCCAAACAAUUUUGGCCUUGAUUUUCUAAUUUAAUAAUCCCACGAUAUUGCUCUUAUAUAUAAAGUGGUGGAUUCUCCUACCAUGACAUUGAAAUGCUAGCAAACAAUUCAAACAUUUCAUUGCAAUGAAUAUGCAUUCCCUAACCUAAUUGGCACCAUAAAAAACAGAGAGCACCAAAUAAAAAGUAAACAUAUCAACAAAGACAUUUGUGAGAGAGUGUCCGUCAACAACAAAACGAUGUGAUGCAUAAAAAUACACUUGUUGAUUGAGAUAAAACGAAAGAAAGAAUCGCAAUAUAUAAGGAAAUUAUAUGAGAUUCAUUCACAUACUAUCUAUAUAUACAUAUUGUAAGGGUGACGUCAAUAGGAAAAAUGUAAACAAAAGAUAAUUGACAUCAUCACCAUUGUUGUAUUUUAUUUUAAUAUAGGUAAGACGUCAACAAUUAACUUUAGUUUUGCCAAAAUCAGAGAGAAAAUGCUGUAAUUUAAAUAAUCAGGUUAUGUCAAGCACAAAAAAAAUUGAUAAACAUUAUAACUGAUUUGUGUUGGAGAAUUAUUGAGCUUAGCAGCAACAACAACAAAGUGGAGCAGUCUAACCGGCGCGGCGGCAUUAUAUGAGAGUGAGAGAGUAAAAAAAAAAAACAAACAAGCACGUAAACAAAUCAAACCCAUAAUAAAAUCAACAACAAAGUCGUUUUUUUUUUGCUGAUUAAACAUACAAUAUGUAUUAAACCACCUCGCACACCCCACCUACAUGCAGGCUCACUGAGAGCCAAUCAACAAGCAAUAUAUACACAAUGCAAAGGUAACGAUAAGAACAUGAUAGAGGUAAUAAAUAUUUAUGGCAGACUUUGUAUUCAAUUGCAAUGCCAGUUACUUACUCUGGUUAAAAGCUCGAGCUGCAUGACCAUCCACUGCAUCCAGCAAGGCGCUUAUUGCAUAACACCAACCGGCUACAACAUAAUUGGUGGACAUGAACCAAAAUGCUAUUAAAGCCAACACGAUACGACCAUACCC
This is a long non-coding RNA of Musca domestica (house fly), 1229 nucleotides long. RefSeq lists it as uncharacterized. The transcript is spliced from 2 exons. Lineage: Eukaryota; Metazoa; Arthropoda; Insecta; Diptera; Muscidae. The record is from RefSeq and is a predicted model, not a curated record.